ACCAAGGAAGCCCUGGCCUAGUCGGGGCACUGGGACCAAGUGGCAACCCUGGACAAGAUGGCCCACCUGGGCCUCGAGGCCAACCAGGCAUUGAUGGGGCUAUUGGGCUCCCUGGUCUUCGAGGGCUAAUCGGAGACCCAGGGACCCCAGGACGCAAAGGAGACGACCGUACAGUGCUUGUGCCUGGAGACGGUGGAGAUCCAGGGCCAACUGGUCCUCCUGGUCCCACUGGAGACAGAGGAGAUGCUGGGGUUGUGGGAUUUGAUGGCGGGAAUGGCAAAAAUGGGU
Long non-coding RNA from Clupea harengus (Atlantic herring), 288 nucleotides. RefSeq lists it as uncharacterized. The transcript is spliced from 3 exons. The record is from RefSeq and is a predicted model, not a curated record. Lineage: Eukaryota; Metazoa; Chordata; Actinopteri; Clupeiformes; Clupeidae.